CCUGCGCUGUGCCUCUCCCAAUUGCAGCUCCUGAGCCUGCCUUUGCGAGCGGCAGAGGUAGGCAGAGGCAGCGGUGGAGGGACAAGCGGCCAGACAGGAGCCCUUUCUCGCCGCUGGUCCCUCUGCCACCGCCCGCCUCUCCCAAGGGCAGGCACAGGAGCCACGGUUGGGAGAGGCACAGCGCAG
Podarcis lilfordi (Lilford's wall lizard) is the source of this 186-nucleotide non-coding RNA. The record is from the annotation of a GenBank genome assembly. NCBI's taxonomy places the organism in Eukaryota, Metazoa, Chordata, Lepidosauria, Squamata, Lacertidae.